CCUUCCCAGGUAUUGGCAACACCAGCAGUCCAGUUGGUUAGGAGCUGUGGAAUCAACCUCAUGUACCAUGUGAAUCCCUUGACAAAUCCUAUUGGUUCUACCUUCAAAAUACAUCUGAAACCCACCCCCUCGUAGCAUCUUCAUUGCUACCACCUUGGUACAAACCAUGAAACAAGGUUGGAAUAUACUGGUAUCUACUUCAACCUUUGCUUCCUACAGUCAAUUCAGAUGCAACCAGAGCGAUCUGUGAAAACCGGAAUUAGAUUUUGCCUUCCUGAGUUCCUCUAGUAGUGGCCACAAUUGCCAGAGAAGAUAGAGCAGGUCUCUCCCAGGACUUGCAACUCCAGCCUGUGUCUGCAGGGGGUGCUGUAGGGGCUGAUUUCUCCAGCCCAUGGCAAGAGGCCUUCAUCUUGUGCCUGGAAAGAGGGAAGUACAAGUUCGUCUGGCAGAGAUGGUGCAGAUGGGCAGGUUUUUCAGACACUGCAGCCAGCACUUCUGGGACCGCAGCAGUGGAGCCUGCAGAGGGCCAGUUCCCCAGGCAUGGGCUAUUGACACUGUCACUUCCAGACUCCUCAUGCAAUAAACAACCCCUAAACAGA
This 599-nucleotide non-coding RNA is filed under the name Pongo abelii (Sumatran orangutan). Lineage: Eukaryota; Metazoa; Chordata; Mammalia; Primates; Hominidae. The record is from RNAcentral.